UGUUAAAAAUUUCAUCCAUUUCUACUGUUAAAAACUAGCAUGGCUAAGACAAAAUAACUAGAUAAUUACAUGUGGUGUGUCAUGUGCACUUCAUGAUGACGUACAUGGAUUAGUUUUUAAUAGUAAAUUAAAAUGAAAGAAUUUUUUAAUA
This 151-nucleotide microRNA precursor is filed under the name Gossypium arboreum. RNAcentral's name for it is "MIR7502 microRNA precursor family". It matches the Rfam family "MIR7502 microRNA precursor family". The record is from Rfam by way of RNAcentral. Lineage: Eukaryota; Viridiplantae; Streptophyta; Magnoliopsida; Malvales; Malvaceae.